Myxocyprinus asiaticus (Chinese sucker) is the source of this 598-nucleotide non-coding RNA. Lineage: Eukaryota; Metazoa; Chordata; Actinopteri; Cypriniformes; Catostomidae. The record is from the annotation of a RefSeq genome assembly.
CAGUGCUAAAGGAGAACUGUUCAAGAUUCCAGCUGUAGAUUUAAUACUUUCUGUUUACUUGUGUAUUUAAUUUUCUCCAAAAUUACAGAAUGGCUACUUCUAUGAUAUUUUCAUUCAUUCUUCUUGCAUUUUCUUUAGAAUGCAGAGCACAGGAUAGCGUUACUCAGCCAACAGAAGUUCCAACUGCUUUUGAGGGUGGAACUGUGACUCUUGAUUGCACAUACAAAACCAGCACAUUCCCAACCCUUUACUGGUACCAAUAUAAAACAAACCAAUUCCCCAAAUACAUGCUAAAGAUAUACUCUGGAUCAAGAGAUAAGGACAAAGAGUUUGAGGAGAGAUUUAAUGCAAAUCUCAACACAUCUUCAACAUCAGUCCCACUGACAAUCCAGGAUCUGCAUGUGUCUGACUCUGCUGUGUACUACUGCGCUCUGCAGCCCACUACAGUGUUAUCACAAAUCAAACUUCAAGUCAAAUGUGAUACCAAAAUCAACCUGAAGAUGGCAUUAUAAACUCAUUACUGCCACCCUUGCAUCACAAGAACCCUUCAAGAAUAUGUUAGUGGAAUCAUCAUUCAAGCUGCAAGGAGUUACUGCAU